This is a long non-coding RNA of Tupaia belangeri chinensis (Chinese tree shrew), 3960 nucleotides long. RefSeq lists it as uncharacterized. The record is from RefSeq and is a predicted model, not a curated record. The transcript has 5 exons. NCBI's taxonomy places the organism in Eukaryota, Metazoa, Chordata, Mammalia, Scandentia, Tupaiidae.
GCGGCUCUCUGCUGUCGCAGGAGGCUCCCCAGUGGCGGCACGCCCGUCGUGCCUGUUGCUGGCGCCGGCGCGCAGUGCGGGCUCCGGCUCCGGCCCUUCGCCGACGGCGCACUGCCUGCCUGUUGAGUGAAAGGUCACGGCGCCAACCAGAAUCUCCAGACUCGCAGAAGAAUGAUUCUGUUGGCCUUCUGGGCCGGACAGUCACCCCAUCGUCCACCUUCAGCCAAGCCUCAGGAUUGGAACAGCCACAGGAGGACAGAGAACGCCACCGAGAGAAGCCGGAGAUGGCGUUAACUUGUUCAACACACUUACAAGUCUGAGGUCAUUUGAACCAUACACACACUUGGGAAUCACAGCUUCCAACUUCGAUAACCAAAUUUUACUUACAAAGUAAAAUAAAAUAAAAUGCUUUAAGUCAGCCCAGGGAAUAAGUGGAAUGUGAAAAGGAAUUUACCAAGGGCAUUUGAGAUAAAACCUGUUAGAACGAGAACUGCUCUCUUGGUGUUUAGCUCACAUUCACCCACAUAUCUAAAUCUAUAGACCGCCAAACACAGCCUUAUGGUGACCUCGUAUCUUGUUUCUUCUCUUAGCAGGAUUGCCCUUCACUUGUAGACUGGGCACUCAGGAUUAAAAUCCAAAUACCUUAUUGGCUUUUAGUAUGAUUGGAAAGAAAAGCUAACCAGUCUGUGAUCAACAACUGCAUGUAGUCACCCCUUCACAAGUGUAUGUGUACAGAUCAUCAGUUGUUUCUUAGUUCUUAAAUCCUUGGCAUCUGUCCUUGUAUACCUAAUAUCAAUUAUUGUAAUAGGCUUGACGUCAACUUAUUCACAGACUAAACUGAUCUCAGCUCUGACUUCACUGAUGGAAUACAGUAUGUUUGCUGAAGGAUAAGAGACAAGAUGGAGGAAUAGAUGUACACUGAAGUUUUCCAGAGGCAACACAGUGUAAUGACACCAUCGUUCCAAUGGCUGAUGGAAUAUGUACUUGUGUGUUCAUGUUCUCUAAAAUAUUCUAGGAGAAUAGGUUUCUGAAAUGUACAAACAUUUAUAGUGUCUUCAUACUUCAGUGGGCCAAUAUUUUCCAAACGGCCAAUGUAUGAUGUUACAAAAUCGUAGAUAAAAGAUUUAUUGAAAAUGAAAGACAAGGGCCAACAAGUGGUAUGAUGGUUGAAAUACUGGAUGCCCUCAGAUGACAACAGGUGGUUGAAGUACUGAACCUCCUCGGAUGACAACAGUUCAAGUCCUAAGCAUGGCAGCUAGCUAUUUCACUUUCUCUGUCUCACUCUGAGUGCCAGUUUCAAGACAGAGGCAAUGCCUACUCAUUCAUCAUUGUAUUCUUACUCACCAUAAUAGUCUGUUUUUACCAUCAUAUUCUUAAGCCCUACAAUGCAAGCCCGAUGUCCUCCUACUGCCUGGGUUAUUGGAACUCCAGGUUCUCCUGCCUUUGGACUCAAGGACCUGUACCAGUGGCCUCUAUUUCUAAGGCCUUUGGUCUUACAGUGAGAGUUAUGCCAUUGACUUCCCUUGUUUGGAGACCUUCAGACUUGAACUGAGAUACACCACUGGCUUCCAUAGUUCUCCAACUUGCAGGUGGCCUAUCAUGGAAUUUCUCGGCCUCCAUAAUCAUAACAGGCAGAUGCUCAAUUCCAAGUUAUUACUGUUAAUGCCAGGUGCCGACAGACAGAAAAAGAGACAAAAAUGCCUCAGUGGACCAAAACAACCAAAAUACCGCACAUUUGUUUUGGUGGCAGCUGCGCCUCGGUGCCGCCUAGGAAUCACAAAGCAGGUGGAAGACCAGAGAGGAGCUGGAGAAUUGACUUGGUGGCUUGUUGGCUGGGAAGGAAGCCAGGAGGCCCAUGCUUCCACACCGGGAUGGUGCCGGGAACUAAGAAGGAACUGGGACGUGUGCUUGGCAGUGGGGCAGACCAUGCAGAGAAGAGCAGACAUUGCUCCUGGCUCUGUUAUGUGGACAGAGGGUAUCCUGAUAAUGAGUCACGCAUCUAUAAUUCAUAGCUCUGUCUUGCUUAACAGAGGUGUCUACAUUGCAUAAUGCUUAUCUCUCCUUUCAGAAGUUCUUACCAGCAAGCCUGGGGUCUGGGUGUAACAAUCAUUCUAGAAGAUUCUAGAAUGGAACGGGUCCACCCCCCACUCAUCAGGGACAGGGCUAGGAUAGACAUCAGGGACCCGAGGACCCGCCUGUGAGGAACUGAGAUCUCUAUGGGGAAACCGGGCUGGGACAUAGAGGCAGGACAGGGGAUGCCAGAGCGCCAGCUCCCUGCAUGGCGAACAGAAACCAGAGCCUCCUUUCAGACCUCUCUGCCUGGACUAGUGCUGACGGUGUGCGGUGUCAACAAGAGUCGUGUGCUGUUCCCUAUGAGUUAAGUCUACACUGGAGACUUGGCAGUUUCCACUUAGUUGAUUCGGACUUGCUCUCUAACCCUGCGUGGAGUCUGCAGCAGCAGUACGGAACCUCGUGACCCUUGAUUUGGGGACCCUAGAGUUAACUGCAAAAAUAACAACCCAGAAAUGGAUUGACCCAGAUGUCUCAAAAGGCAAAAACUGGAUUAUUUGGUGUGAGAUCGAACCAAGGCGUUAAGGUAGUGCUGUCUUUCUCGGGAUAUAUCACCAGAGGGCGCCAAGUGUCCUUCUGCAAAAGACGUUUCUCUGGUUUCUCCCUCUCUUUUUUUCUUUCCAGAAUUAAAAAUGUUUAAUGUAGUUCAAACAGCGUCUGGUUCAUUUUAGCUCCUUCACCGCCAAACCUGGGGGCAGGGACUGCUUCGGCUUCCCUGCCUUCUCUCUGUCCAUGACGACCAAGGUACCUGCUGCAUCGAACUUUAAACUUCACAUUAUCCUCAUCUUUCUUGAUCUUGACAGGUUUGGCGUCCUUUUGUCGGUCUGUUAGCAGAGAGUCUUUGAUUUCUUCAGUUUUUCCGAGGCAUGACGGGGAGCAUGGGGAGAGGGCGCCGACGGCUCCGCGCGAGAGACGCUCACCCAAAAGCGGUUUCUCUUGCACAGAACCAACACGAGCAAAACGACAGUCUCCUGCGAAGUAGGAGGCAGAAGAGAAGGGACAGGUAGUCCCUGGUACAGACUUCUGAGGCAUGGCACCUGGUUGACGUCAGCUUUCUGUUAAAGAUUGAUAGGAAUUUCCACGAAAUUGCCCAAAGCGUCCCGGCUUGUUUAACGCGCACACUGGUUUGCAUGUCUUAGGCCGGUGUAGACGCAGCCUGGGCACCGCGUCCUGUGUUCCUGCCUCUGGAACUCGCUUUGGGGCGCCCGCAUGCUGGUGUCCACGCCGGCUCCCCGGAGGACUCACCUGUGGACAGCUCUGUGGCAUGACUCUGAGUUUGCGACCCCGGGCUGUCAAUGCACCGUCCCCAUAUCACACAGGGAAACUGAGUCUGGGGGACGUGUGUAGAAUCACACUUCAGGUGAAUCUGGUGACCGAGGUAAAACUUCCGUAUUUUCCAACCCAUGAGCAUCCCCAACAGAAAGGGGGCUCGGUCCACGUAGGUGAUCAUCUAAAGUUUAAACAAGGGGAUCAAAGUGCAAAAGAGCCGGGUGGUGCGGAGGGGCGGGCGCCAGAGCGCUGUGCUCGCCUGCAGAAUUCCCGGGUCGUGCUGCCACCUCCUGGACAAUUAGGAAAUUAAACUCAAACUUGGCCAUAGGACUUCCUUUUCCAUUAAAACGGUUUUUCGUAAAAGAACUGGGACUUGUUGUAUUCUGCAAUAAUUAUUUUUUGUGAUGCAUUUGGCACUUAUAAACCCCAUGAAAAAUAUUAGAUACAUAUGAAGUGCCCGAGGUGUAAAGACAUGAAAUUUCACAACAAAUUACUGGGAAAUUAAAUCAAUGACUUCAGGUCUUCUAGACUCCAACUUCUUAAGUGUGAAAGAUCUGUUGAUAUGGAAUAUUUUCCAAUGCACUUACCACAUAAUCACGGACUCACAGAACAUCUUCUGAA